UUGUUGAAGAAAAACCCCUUCACAACAUCUAGCCAAGUCAAGAACACUCUGGAGGAGGUAGGCAUACAAUCAAGUCUACAUUCAAGAGACACAUUCAUGAAUGUAAAUACAGAUGGUGUACCUCAAGAUACAAACCACUGGUAACACUCAAGAAGAGAAAGGCCAAAUUUGACUUUGCUAACAAACCUCUAAAAAAUGCCUGAGCAGUUCUGAUGCAAGAUUAACCUGUACCAGAAUGAUGGGGAAAGUAUGGAAAAGGAAAGGAAGGGCCCAUGAUCUAAAGCAUUCGACAUCACCUGUCAAACAUGUCUAGGCAGUGUUAUGGUAUGGGCAUGCAUGGCUGCCAAUGGAACUGGGUCACUGGCGUUUAUUGAUGAUGUGACUGCUAAUAGAAGUAGCAGGGUGAAUUCUGAAUGUAUAGAGCUGUAGUUUCUGCUUAGAUUCAGUCAAAUGCUGCAAAACUGAUAGGACAGCGCUUCACAUUACAGAUGGAUAAUGACUAGAGAUGCACAGAUGAGAGAUGCACUGAGAGAAUAAAAUUUUUACUUGCAUUUCUUUCAGAAUUGUGGAAUUAAUUGUUAUUAAUUUAAAAGACGGCAUAAAAGGCAGAACUAUCGCUUAUUGGUAUCGGCCAAUAAAGGCUAUUUUUCAUGCUAUCGGCUAUCGGCCAAUAGUUUAAAAACAUCUGAUGAUCAGCGCCGAUUAUAUCCUGUCAAUCAAAAGAGGGCGGGAAAACACAUUGAUUUCGUGCUAUGUGUAAAGAAGAUGUCUCUUGUGUGGAAUGAUGACAAAACUGCAGUUUGUAAGCCCUGUUAUCUCUGCAUUGCUAACAUUUUACACCGGAAGUGAGCAGCAGCGAAACGGGAAACGGGAGUUUUAGCAUCAAGUAUAAUUCCCCCAGCGCUAAUCGCGCACUGUUUCCGUGCUGCAUUAAAGUGCCAGUACACCGUUGAAAGAUUUAAAUAAAGAUGAGUUGACAAAAAAGUAUAUAUUGCACAGAAAAAUAUUUGUAGAGUAGUAUAUUUCAUGUCCAAUUAAUGUUAUUGUUACAGUUAAUUGUAACCCGCAAUGAAUUAUCAAAAAUAAAUAAUUUAUAAAAUGCAUAAAUAAGCUAAUCAGUUAAAACACAUACAUGUAAGAAACAAUUAAGAAUGGUUAAAAACAGUUUGACAGUGAUUUAAUGUAAACAAAUAGAAGUAUGGCUGUAAGGAAUUGUGGUGACGCUUCCCCUUUAAGAGGGGCCUUGGCCCAUUUUGAAGCAGCACUGAGCAGUGAGUGGAGAGGAGAAGCAGACAGACUAACAAGCUAAAAAGUUAAAAGCUUUUGUGAAAUGUUGAUUUAGAAGCUCAAAAACAAUACUUACCUGUUUGGGCAUUUAUGAAGAUUAAAUACAAGAAAACCACAACGUUUUUGACACGGGAUACAAGAUGGCGAGCCAAACCCAUGGACAAAGUUUCUAGAGACAACUUGGCUUCUUCGUGCCAGAGAGGAUCUGCUGUGUACGAUGGGACUCCGGUAAACUCGCUGCCAGAGCGGUAGGAGUGUUUGGACUAAUUUUUUCCCUUGGAACUGAACUGAACUUUUCUGAUCUUAAUUGAAUUUGAAGGUAUAAGUGAAACUGAACUUGAGCUGGAUCUGAAGUGUUACUUCACAUUGUAUUCUGUUUCAUCAUUGUGAAUAUUAUGAUUCAAGGUUUAAGAGUGUUUUACUUGCAUUGACUUUGAUUUGGAAACCACAUAAAUGUUUCCUCACCUGUAAGGAAAGAAAAAAAGUUAAUUCAAGGGAUAAAAAAAGAGAGAGAAAAUAGGGACACCCUGUUAACCUAAAACAAGAUACUUAGACCGGUCUAAUCUAAUAAAACAAGCUAGGUAAACCAAAUUAUUUGUGACCUACAUGAAGGAAAGGGAAAGAGGGGAAAAAAGGAUUAAAGUGGGUUCUACCUACCUUUUGCUACUUGCAGGACAAUUCAUUGGUUCUGAUGUCUGUUUAAUAUAUUGUCUUUGUUGACCUUCAGUAAACUGCCGGCUUUUGUAUUUAAAGUA
Long non-coding RNA from Ictalurus punctatus (channel catfish), 2042 nucleotides. RefSeq lists it as uncharacterized. The record is from RefSeq and is a predicted model, not a curated record. The transcript has 2 exons. Lineage: Eukaryota; Metazoa; Chordata; Actinopteri; Siluriformes; Ictaluridae.